CUGAAGCUUAAUUUGAAACUUAAAAACAUAGUAGCAAAUAAUACAAAAGACAAAAAUUAUAUUGAUAAAGAUAUAAAAAGGUACAAAGAAGGCCAAUAAGUAUCAUCAAGUUACAUGAGUCUCCCAUCCUUCACAAAACAUACAAAGAAGCAAGACAACUUUGUGUCCAAGACAAAAACAAACUAAUUAUCCUAACUCACUAGAUGAUGUUCAUGACACUAAUUAUAACAAGACAAACUAAUUAACCUAAGCAAAUCCUCCGCCAAUUGCCAAACCAAGCAACCAUCUUUCACGUUUUUAAGAAGUCCCUGAAAAAUUAAAAAGAAGAGAAUGGAAAAGUUUAGCAGUAGCUACAUUUCAUAACUUUGAGCCAAUAUCCAACUAAAUUAUCAUGAGCAACAACAUUCAUAUAUAGUUCUCCUAACAUGCUUAUCAAAGACAAACUCAAACUUAGACAUUAAUAACAUGUCCUCAUAUUACAGUUUUAUUCCCAAGUUAACAAAUGAUUGACUGCACCAGUUACGGAUUCAAGAUGGAACUUCAGAUACUGUCCUACUCCUUGCACCAGUUACCCACUUUAAAAAGAUAAGAGUUUCCAUGACAUAUGUAACUAAAACUGCUAAAUCUAUUGCAAUAAAGUCAAACUUACCCCAUAUUCAGACACAGGGAUACCCUGUUGGGCACGCACUUAGUGUGCUUGUCGUCGAGUCAACCACUGCAAGGGGUUAAACAAACCAAAAUGAUCACUGCAACAAUCUAGAUAUGAAAUAAUGAAGAUGAAUACUAUUCUUUUGCAGAUA
RNAcentral lists this long non-coding RNA (800 nucleotides) under Trifolium pratense (red clover). Its description in RNAcentral is "long non-coding RNA (TPRA_LNC008074)". Lineage: Eukaryota; Viridiplantae; Streptophyta; Magnoliopsida; Fabales; Fabaceae. The record is from RNAcentral.